GACCUCGGAUCAGGUAGGGAUACCCGCUGAACUUAAGCAUAUCAAUAAGCGGAGGAAAAGAAACCAACAGGGAUUGCCCUAGUAACGGCGAGUGAAGCGGCAACAGCUCAAAUUUGAAAUCUGGCUCUUUUAGGGUCCGAGUUGUAAUUUGCAGAGGGCGCUUUGGCGUUGGCAGCGGUCCAAGUUCUUUGGAACAGGACGUCACAGAGGGUGAGAAUCCCGUACGUGGUCGCUAUCCUUCGCCGUGUAAAGCCCCUUCGACGAGUCGAGUUGUUUGGGAAUGCAGCUCUAAAUGGGAGGUAAAUUUCUUCUAAAGCUAAAUACUGGCCAGAGACCGAUAGCGCACAAGUAGAGUGAUCGAAAGAUGAAAAGCACUUUGGAAAGAGAGUCAAAUAGCACGUGAAAUUGUUGAAAGGGAAGCGCUUGCAGCCAG
RNAcentral lists this ribosomal RNA (433 nucleotides) under uncultured fungus. RNAcentral describes it as "eukaryotic LSU rRNA". It matches the Rfam family "Eukaryotic large subunit ribosomal RNA", at positions 1 to 432 of the family's 3401-position model. The record is from RNAcentral. Lineage: Eukaryota; Fungi.